This 109-nucleotide ribosomal RNA is filed under the name Bacillus velezensis. RNAcentral's name for it is "partial 16S ribosomal RNA". It matches the Rfam family "Bacterial small subunit ribosomal RNA", at positions 1 to 106 of the family's 1533-position model. The record is from RNAcentral. Lineage: Bacteria; Bacillati; Bacillota; Bacilli; Caryophanales; Bacillaceae.
UUAUCGGAGAGUUUGAUCCUGGCUCAGGACGAACGCUGGCGGCGUGCCUAAUACAUGCACGCCGAGCGGACAGUUGGGAGCAUACUCCCUGAUGUCAGCGACGAACGGG